GAUGAACGCUGGCGGCGUGCCUAAUACAUGCAAGUCGAGCGAACAGACGAGGAGCUUGCUCCUUUGACGUUAGCGGCGGACGGGUGAGUAACACGUGGGUAACCUACCUAUAAGACUGGGAUAACUUCGGGAAACCGGAGCUAAUACCGGAUAAUAUUUCGUACCGCAUGGUUCGAUAGUGAAAGAUGGCUCUGCUAUCACUUAUAGAUGGACCUGCGCCGUAUUAGCUAGUUGGUAAGGUAACGGCUUACCAAGGCAACGAUACGUAGCCGACCUGAGAGGGUGAUCGGCCACACUGGAACUGAGACACGGUCCAGACUCCUACGGGAGGCAGCAGUAGGGAAUCUUCCGCAAUGGGCGAAAGCCUGACGGAGCAACGCCGCGUGAGUGAUGAAGGUCUUCGGAUCGUAAAACUCUGUUAUUAGGGAAGAACAAACGUGUAAGUAACUGUGCACGUCUUGACGGUACCUAAUCAGAAAGCCACGGCUAACUACGUG
RNAcentral lists this ribosomal RNA (497 nucleotides) under uncultured bacterium. Its description in RNAcentral is "partial 16S ribosomal RNA". It matches the Rfam family "Bacterial small subunit ribosomal RNA", at positions 28 to 507 of the family's 1533-position model. The record is from RNAcentral.